GCUUCAUUGGGGGUUGAAGCUGUCAAUCUCUUUCCGUUUUCAUCUCAGACCAAUUCUGCAUCUUCCUUAUAAGAAGUGUAACCAAGACAAGAUGCCUGAGUCUUUGACCCAAGUGGAAACAGAUCACAUUUGAAAGGAAGGGCAUUCCAUAUUCUGGGAGCCACACAGAAGAAGGCCUUCUUCCACAUGCUUGUCAGAAAUUGCUGCUUUGAAGAUGACUCUUAAGAGUGAGGCACACGCAGAAAAGGAACCCAAUUGCUACAUUUGAGGAUGUGAGACUGGAUGACACACACCAAGAGAAGACACGAGCACAAAUAUGGGAGUGAACAUCGCUGAAUAUAAAAAGUCUGGUGUACAAUAGUUAAUAAAUCAGCAUGGACCCUACCAACAAAGGAAGAAGCUGUGCAAGGUCUCUGCCCACCUUUUCCAUGGUCAGGGUCCAUCAUAACCUCUGUUAGGAGAAUCUGGUUGUGCAAUGGAGCAUCCGAAGCUGUCCGUCCCUGGCUCUCUGUACAGUCCAAUAAUAACCUUAACAUUAGAAGAAACUUUAGAAAAUUUCCACUGAGUCAUGAGUCAACUAAAUAACAAAACAAGAUGCCCCUGUGCAUUUUGGGGAGCUUCAUCUAUGGCCAUUCAUGUUUCUGACCCACAUCUCUGAUU
Non-coding RNA from Pogona vitticeps (central bearded dragon), 660 nucleotides. The record is from RefSeq and is a predicted model, not a curated record. NCBI's taxonomy places the organism in Eukaryota, Metazoa, Chordata, Lepidosauria, Squamata, Agamidae.